RNA transcript from Haplochromis burtoni (Burton's mouthbrooder), 1219 nucleotides. It is a transcript of the gene named placental growth factor a, with no coding region annotated. The record is from RefSeq and is a predicted model, not a curated record. The transcript is spliced from 6 exons. Lineage: Eukaryota; Metazoa; Chordata; Actinopteri; Cichliformes; Cichlidae.
UAGUAUACAUUCAGCCAUGCUGGCGCGCGCUUUUCAUCGCAGCCUUCCUCGCGCAGCGGGACUGUGCUCGUUAUAAAAGCUCCAGCCGCUUCUCCGCUCUCCCUUCAACAUUUUCAUUUCUUUCUGGCCGACUAGAGGAUAGCAGGAACUCAUUCCCGGCAGCAGCAGCAUGCAAACUUUCCUCGGAAUCCUGCUGCUUCUGCUGGUCCUUCAGCGGGUACCUGCGCAGAUAUCAGAUGAAGGGGGUCCCAAUACAGGUAAGAGUGAUGCCCUUUAUCAUGGCCCACUGAAAAGGCUCUCCUACCUGCUGCAAAUGACUUAAAGAUUAAGAUCCAACCUCUUAUGUAGUAAUUCAGUUGUCUGAGGUGAUGGCAAAGUGCUCGUGUCAGGUCAUGGACCAGCUGGUGUAUGUGUACGAUGAGUACCCCCAGUCGGUGGAGAACAACUACAUACCUCAUUGUGUGGUGGUGCGCCGAUGCUCUGGUUACUGUUCGGGUGAGGAAUUCAAGUGCCUUCCUACCCUCGAACGCAACGCCACUCUGCAGCUGAAGAUUUCUUCCCAAGAACAGCCCGUGGAGCUCACAUUUCUAGAACAUCAGCAGUGUCAAUGCAGAGACCCUGAGAAUCUUCCGUACUAUGAAAGAUCAGUAAUUAAGUCACAGCAGCAGCAGCAGCAAGUCCACUGAGAGCAGACCUCGGAGGAGGAAACAUACCAAGAAAUGGCUGUAGAAACUGCCAGUUCCAGACAAGAAGAUCACUCUUCGCUGAUUUGCACCUGGUGAAUAUGGAGUGGUGAACAUCACAUAUCUCCAUCCAUUCCCAUAUAUUUUAUAACUUAUAUACUGUUUUGUUUUGGUUUUUUUGCUGAGUAAUCACCAAAGCAACCCUAACCCUGGAUGUGUACAGUUCCUUUGGCCAUGGCCUCCAUUUUUCCGUUUUCAUCUAUUUAUCUUUUCACUUUAAGCUUGCUGCUGUGUUACGUUUUCAAAACAGACACAGUAUACAGAACACAUACAGAAUAGGAUCAGAGAUAAUGGCUGGAAUGCUUUGAGCUUUUCAACCAGGUUUAAAGCCUAAAUCCAUCCCUUAAGUGUUUAUUAACUUGUCAGAUUAAUGGCAUGUGGUGUCUUUGUGAUUUUUAUUCUGCUGUCUGCAUUUUUGUGCCAUUUGUAUAUAAAAGAAUAUUUAUAUAUGUAUCUAUUUUGUUCACAAUGACUAA